GCAUAACGCGAAGAACCUUACCAGGGCUUGACAUGCCCCUGACCGUCCCAGAGAUGGGAUUUCACCUUCGGGUGCAGGGGACACAGGUGGUGCAUGGUUGUCGUCAGCUCGUGUCGUGAGAUGUUGGGUUAAGUCCCGCAACGAGCGCAACCCUUGCCUUUAGUUGCUACCAUUAAGUUGAGAACUCUAGAGGGACUGCCGAUGAUAAAUCGGAGGAAGGUGGGGAUGACGUCAAAUCAUCAUGCCCUUUAUGUCCUGGGCUACACACGUGCUACAAUGGUCGGUACAACGAGCAGCUACCUAGCGACAGGAUGCAAAUCUCUAAAAGCCGAUCCCAGUUCGGAUUGCAGGCUGCAACUCGCCUGCAUGAAGUCGGAGUUGCUAGUAAUCGCGAAUCAGAAUGUCGCGGUGAAUGCGUUCCCGGGUCUUGUACACACCG
This 439-nucleotide ribosomal RNA is filed under the name uncultured bacterium. RNAcentral describes it as "bacterial SSU rRNA". It matches the Rfam family "Bacterial small subunit ribosomal RNA", at positions 954 to 1392 of the family's 1533-position model. The record is from RNAcentral.